RNAcentral lists this ribosomal RNA (497 nucleotides) under uncultured bacterium. RNAcentral describes it as "partial 16S ribosomal RNA". It matches the Rfam family "Bacterial small subunit ribosomal RNA", at positions 28 to 507 of the family's 1533-position model. The record is from RNAcentral.
GAUGAACGCUGGCGGCGUACCUAAUACAUGCAAGUCGAGCGAACAGACGAGGAGCUUGCUCCUCUGACGUUAGCGGCGGACGGGUGAGUAACACGUGGAUAACCUACCUAUAAGACUGGGAUAACUUCGGGAAACCGGAGCUAAUACCGGAUAAUAUAUUGAACCGCAUGGUUCAAUAGUGAAAGACGGUUUUGCUGUCACUUAUAGAUGGAUCCGCGCCGCAUUAGCUAGUUGGUAAGGUAACGGCUUACCAAGGCGACGAUGCGUAGCCGACCUGAGAGGGUGAUCGGCCACACUGGAACUGAGACACGGUCCAGACUCCUACGGGAGGCAGCAGUAGGGAAUCUUCCGCAAUGGGCGAAAGCCUGACGGAGCAACGCCGCGUGAGUGAUGAAGGUCUUCGAAUCGUAAAACUCUGUUAUUAGGGAAGAACAAAUGUGUAAGUAACUAUGCACGUCUUGACGGUACCUAAUCAGAAAGCCACGGCUAACUACGUG